AUGAAGAAUCCAUCUUGUGAACAGGCAAUUUCUUCUUCCUUGAUCCCGUUCCACAAGGAAGCCAAUAAAGAAAUGGGAGGCGAGACGCAGCCACUGGCGGCCGCAGCAGUCACCGUAUCCAAGGUGCUCGACGAUGACGACCUCCUCAUCGAAAUCCUUCUCCGCGUCGGUUUCCCCACCACCCUUGUCUGCGCUGCCCUCGUCUGCAAGCGCUGGCUAGGGCACGCCUCCGACCGUGCCUUCCUUCGCCGUUUCCGCAAGCUCCACCCGCCCCGCCUCCUCGGCUUCUACAUUGACGACUUUGGUCUUCCGCCUGGCUUGACAUUGGUGUUCGUCCCAGUGCUGCCUCAGCCCCCAGAGCUUGCUGUCGUUGUCCGCCGUGCGAGGUUCAAAUUGAAAACCAACAAUGCCAGGUCUGCCACAAUCAGGGACUGCCAGAACGGCAGUGUCUUCUUCACCUUGUACAACGGCAGAAGCAGAAAGUCAACCAGAGUGCACUGCCCAUUGUGCCCCGAGAGAGGUCCAGCCAUCCUCCCACAACUCCCACGCCCUGGACUCGGGAGUAACUGCACUUUCAAACAAGUUCUUUCCAAAGAAGAAGGGGAUGGCAUGUCCUACUACUACUUGUAUGUGGAGUCUGCCAGGCGCGCAGAAACAGAAUCUAUGCUACACGUAUAUAUGUUGCAAGAUGGUUCCCGAUGGACGCAUCAUCUCUUGGACAUAGACAACCUCCCUGAACCACGAUGGGAACCAAAAGCUGUGCUUGUUGAUAAUAAAAUCUACAUGGCGGCUGCCGAGACUGCCAUUAUUGUUUUGGAUUUGUCGGACUUGAGUCUCUCUACAAUUCAGCUUCCGCAAGGUGUGGAGCAUGGCGUCAUUGGCACCACUAUGUUGGCACGUGCUCAUGAUGCUUCUGGUGUAUAUCUCAUCCAUGUUGAGGAGUUUCAACUUCGCAUCUGGCUCCACAAGGGGGGAAACUGGUCAUUGGUUGAUACCAUUUUUUUGCAUGAGAUGUGUGCUAACUUGAGGAAUUCAUGUUGCACAAUCGAGGAUGAGGAUAGACUUCUUCCACUGAACCAGGUGGUGGACUAUGGUGACUUUGUGUUUUUGAAGAUGGGUGGAUGCGCACUCCAGUUGGACAUCAAGUGCAGGACACUGCGUAAGGUGUAUGAAGCAAAAAACGGCCAUUUGGGUUUUAAUAUCCAUCCUUUUAUGAUGAUCUGGCCUCCCACAUUCCCAACGCUCAAGUAUGAUCCUGCAAGAAAUGCAAUGUGGAGAAGAAAUAUACCAGGAAGCUCAUGGAUGGCACCUACGCCAAGAGUGACCAGGGCGGCAUCAAGGAAGAGCAGUAGUUGA
RNAcentral lists this ribosomal RNA (1356 nucleotides) under Triticum aestivum (bread wheat). Its description in RNAcentral is "partial small subunit ribosomal RNA". The record is from RNAcentral. Lineage: Eukaryota; Viridiplantae; Streptophyta; Magnoliopsida; Poales; Poaceae.